CUUUAAUGUUUGAUGUUCUAACGUGGGCCCCUAAUCGGGGUUGCGGACAGUGUCUGGUGGGUAGUUUGACUGGGGCGGUCUCCUCCUAAAGAGUAACGGAGGAGCACGAAGGUUGGCUAAUCCUGGUCGGACAUCAGGAGGUUAGUGCAAUGGCAUAAGCCAGCUUGACUGCGAGCGUGACGGCGCGAGCAGGUGCGAAAGCAGGUCAUAGUGAUCCGGUGGUUCUGAAUGGAAGGGCCAUCGCUCAACGGAUAAAAGGUACUCCGGGGAUAACAGGCUGAUACCGCCCAAGAGUUCAUAUCGACGGCGGUGUUUGGCACCUCGAUGUCGGCUCAUCACAUCCUGGGGCUGAAGUAGGUCCCAAGGGUAUGGCUGUUCGCCAUUUAAAGUGGUACGCGAGCUGGGUUUAGAACGUCGUGAGACAGUUCGGUCCCUAUCUGCCGUGGGCGCUGGAGAACUGAGGGGGGCUGCUCCUAGUACGAGAGGACCGGAGUGGACGCAUCACUGGUGUUCGGGUUGUCAUGCCAAUGGCACUGCCCGGUAGCUAAAUGCGGAAGAGAUAAGUGCUGAAAGCAUCUAAGCACGAAACUUGCCCCGAGAUGAGUUCUCCCUGAGACUUAGAGUCUCCUGAAGGAACGUUGAAGACGACGACGUUGAUAGGCCGGGUGUGUAAGCGCAGCGAUGCGUUGAGCUAACCGGUACUAAUGAACCGUGAGGCUUAACCUU
This 726-nucleotide ribosomal RNA is filed under the name Escherichia coli. RNAcentral describes it as "partial 23S ribosomal RNA". It matches the Rfam family "Bacterial large subunit ribosomal RNA", at positions 2205 to 2925 of the family's 2925-position model. The record is from RNAcentral. Lineage: Bacteria; Pseudomonadati; Pseudomonadota; Gammaproteobacteria; Enterobacterales; Enterobacteriaceae.